Molecule: non-coding RNA, 136 nt
Filed under: Candidatus Omnitrophota
Lineage: Bacteria; Pseudomonadati
Description: Candidatus Omnitrophica FMN sequence
Rfam family: FMN riboswitch aptamer (RFN element)
About the family: The RFN element is a highly conserved domain that is found frequently in the 5'-untranslated regions of prokaryotic mRNAs that encode for flavin mononucleotide (FMN) biosynthesis and transport proteins.
Source: RNAcentral
AUAAAUCUUCAGGACGCGGCGCAAUUCCGCACUGGUGGUAAAAUCCCCCGAGGGGGAUAAAAGCCCACGAGCCCUAAAAAGCAGAUCCGGCGAGAUUCCGGAGCCAAUAGUAUAGUCUAGAUGGAAGAAGAAGGCA